GGGUUGUGAGGUUAAGCGACUAAGCGUACACGGUGGAUGCCCUGGCAGUCAGAGGCGAUGAAGGACGUGCUAAUCUGCGAUAAGCGUCGGUAAGGUGAUAUGAACCGUUAUAACCGGCGAUUUCCGAAUGGGGAAACCCAGUGUGUUUCGACACACUAUCAUUAACUGAAUCCAUAGGUUAAUGAGGCGAACCGGGGGAACUGAAACAUCUAAGUACCCCGAGGAAAAGAAAUCAACCGAGAUUCCCCCAGUAGCGGCGAGCGAACGGGGAGGAGCCCAGAGCCUGAAUCAGUGUGUGUGUUAGUGGAAGCGUCUGGAAAGGCGCGCGAUACAGGGUGACAGCCCCGUACACAAAAAUGCACAUACUGUGAGCUCGAUGAGUAGGGCGGGACACGUGGUAUCCUGUCUGAAUAUGGGGGGACCAUCCUCCAAGGCUAAAUACUCCUGACUGACCGAUAGUGAACCAGUACCGUGAGGGAAAGGCGAAAAGAACCCCGGCGAGGGGAGUGAAAAAGAACCUGAAACCGUGUACGUACAAGCAGUGGGAGCCUCUUAAUGGGGUGACUGCGUACCUUUUGUAUAAUGGGUCAGCGACUUAUAUUCUGUAGCAAGGUUAACCGAAUAGGGGAGCCGAAGGGAAACCGAGUCUUAACUGGGCGUUAAGUUGCAGGGUAUAGACCCGAAACCCGGUGAUCUAGCCAUGGGCAGGUUGAAGGUUGGGUAACACUAACUGGAGGACCGAACCGACUAAUGUUGAAAAAUUAGCGGAUGACUUGUGGCUGGGGGUGAAAGGCCAAUCAAACCGGGAGAUAGCUGGUUCUCCCCGAAAGCUAUUUAGGUAGCGCCUCGUGAAUUCAUCUCCGGGGGUAGAGCACUGUUUCGGCAAGGGGGUCAUCCCGACUUACCAACCCGAUGCAAACUGCGAAUACCGGAGAAUGUUAUCACGGGAGACACACGGCGGGUGCUAACGUCCGUCGUGAAGAGGGAAACAACCCAGACCGCCAGCUAAGGUCCCAAAGUCAUGGUUAAGUGGGAAACGAUGUGGGAAGGCCCAGACAGCCAGGAUGUUGGCUUAGAAGCAGCCAUCAUUUAAAGAAAGCGUAAUAGCUCACUGGUCGAGUCGGCCUGCGCGGAAGAUGUAACGGGGCUAAACCAUGCACCGAAGCUGCGGCAGCGACGUUUAUGCGUUGUUGGGUAGGGGAGCGUUCUGUAAGCCUGCGAAGGUGUACUGUGAGGUAUGCUGGAGGUAUCAGAAGUGCGAAUGCUGACAUAAGUAACGAUAAAGCGGGUGAAAAGCCCGCUCGCCGGAAGACCAAGGGUUCCUGUCCAACGUUAAUCGGGGCAGGGUGAGUCGACCCCUAAGGCGAGGCCGAAAGGCGUAGUCGAUGGGAAACAGGUUAAUAUUCCUGUACUUGGUGUUACUGCGAAGGGGGGACGGAGAAGGCUAUGUUGGCCGGGCGACGGUUGUCCCGGUUUAAGCGUGUAGGCUGGUUUUCCAGGCAAAUCCGGAAAAUCAAGGCUGAGGCGUGAUGACGAGGCACUACGGUGCUGAAGCAACAAAUGCCCUGCUUCCAGGAAAAGCCUCUAAGCAUCAGGUAACAUCAAAUCGUACCCCAAACCGACACAGGUGGUCAGGUAGAGAAUACCAAGGCGCUUGAGAGAACUCGGGUGAAGGAACUAGGCAAAAUGGUGCCGUAACUUCGGGAGAAGGCACGCUGAUAUGUAGGUGAAGUCCCUCGCGGAUGGAGCUGAAAUCAGUCGAAGAUACCAGCUGGCUGCAACUGUUUAUUAAAAACACAGCACUGUGCAAACACGAAAGUGGACGUAUACGGUGUGACGCCUGCCCGGUGCCGGAAGGUUAAUUGAUGGGGUUAGCGGUAACGCGAAGCUCUUGAUCGAAGCCCCGGUAAACGGCGGCCGUAACUAUAACGGUCCUAAGGUAGCGAAAUUCCUUGUCGGGUAAGUUCCGACCUGCACGAAUGGCGUAAUGAUGGCCAGGCUGUCUCCACCCGAGACUCAGUGAAAUUGAACUCGCUGUGAAGAUGCAGUGUACCCGCGGCAAGACGGAAAGACCCCGUGAACCUUUACUAUAGCUUGACACUGAACAUUGAGCCUUGAUGUGUAGGAUAGGUGGGAGGCUUUGAAGUGUGGACGCCAGUCUGCAUGGAGCCGGCCUUGAAAUACCACCCUUUAAUGUUUGAUGUUCUAACGUUGGCCCCUGAUCGGGGUUGCGGACAGUGUCUGGUGGGUAGUUUGACUGGGGCGGUCUCCUCCUAAAGAGUAACGGAGGAGCACGAAGGUUGGCUAAUCCUGGUCGGACAUCAGGAGGUUAGUGCAAUGGCAUAAGCCAGCUUGACUGCGAGCGUGACGGCGCGAGCAGGUGCGAAAGCAGGUCAUAGUGAUCCGGUGGUUCUGAAUGGAAGGGCCAUCGCUCAACGGAUAAAAGGUACUCCGGGGAUAACAGGCUGAUACCGCCCAAGAGUUCAUAUCGACGGCGGUGUUUGGCACCUCGAUGUCGGCUCAUCACAUCCUGGGGCUGAAGUAGGUCCCAAGGGUAUGGCUGUUCGCCAUUUAAAGUGGUACGCGAGCUGGGUUUAGAACGUCGUGAGACAGUUCGGUCCCUAUCUGCCGUGGGCGCUGGAGAACUGAGGGGGGCUGCUCCUAGUACGAGAGGACCGGAGUGGACGCAUCACUGGUGUUCGGGUUGUCAUGCCAAUGGCACUGCCCGGUAGCUAAAUGCGGAAGAGAUAAGUGCUGAAAGCAUCUAAGCACGAAACUUGCCCCGAGAUGAGUUCUCCCUGACUCUUUAAGGGUCCUGAAGGAACGUUGAAGACGACGACGUUGAUAGGCCGGGUGUGUAAGCGCAGCGAUGCGUUGAGCUAACCGGUACUAAUGAACCGUGAGGCUUAACCUUACAACGCCGAAG
Molecule: ribosomal RNA, 2926 nt
Filed under: Escherichia coli
Lineage: Bacteria; Pseudomonadati; Pseudomonadota; Gammaproteobacteria; Enterobacterales; Enterobacteriaceae
Also listed under: 1 other name
Description: partial 23S ribosomal RNA
Rfam family: Bacterial large subunit ribosomal RNA
Source: RNAcentral